UCGGUGCGGCAAGUGGUCGCUUGAAAAAGAGGAAAGUCCGAGCUGCUAUAAGACAGGAUUGCGUCUAACGGACGCCGAGGGCAACCUUAGGGAAAGUGCAACAGAAAACAGACUGCCGAUUUUCUUUAUUUUGUGCAAAAUGUUAUUUGAAAUACGCUUAAAUUAACGUCUGAAAUUUAAAAAUUUCACUUUUAAAAGCACAAAUUUAAAUGUGUAUAAAAUAAAGAAAAUCGGCGAUGGUGAAACGGUGAGGUAAGAGCUCACCAGCAUUUUUGGAAACUUAAAUGGCUUUGCAAACCCAAUCUGCAGCAAGAAGUUAUGGUUUUGUCUUAUGAUUUUGAUACUUCGCUGAAAUCGCUUUGCAAAAAGCGAUGUAGAUAAAUGGCCACAAAAACAGAACUCGGCUUACAGCCGCGCCGAAACA
Non-coding RNA from Campylobacter hominis ATCC BAA-381, 424 nucleotides. It matches the Rfam family "Bacterial RNase P class A". Rfam says of the family: Ribonuclease P (RNase P) is a ubiquitous endoribonuclease, found in archaea, bacteria and eukarya as well as chloroplasts and mitochondria. Its best characterised activity is the generation of mature 5'-ends of tRNAs by cleaving the 5'-leader elements of precursor-tRNAs. The record is from Rfam. Lineage: Bacteria; Pseudomonadati; Campylobacterota; Epsilonproteobacteria; Campylobacterales; Campylobacteraceae.